UCGAGAAUCUUUCACAAUGGGGGAAACCCUGAUGGAGUGACGCCGCGUGGAGGUUAAGGUCUUCGGAUUGUAAACUCCUGUCAUGCGAGAACAAAGCCCGCAAGGGUGUGAUAGUACCGCAAGAGGAAGAGACGGCUAACUCUGUGCCAGCAGCCGCGGUAAUACAGAGGUCUCAAGCGUUGUUCGGAAUUACUGGGCGUAAAGGGUGCGCAGGCCGCGCGGGCAGUCAAAUGUGUAAUUCAGGGGCUCAACCCCUGCACUGCGCUUGAUACUUCCGCGCUCGAGCUUUGGAGAGGAGUCUGGAAUUCUCGGUGUAGCAGUGAAAUGCGUGGAUAUCGAGAAGAACACUUAGGGCGAAGGCAAGACUCUGGACAAAUGCUGACGCUCAUGCACGAAGGCUAGGGUAGCGAACGGGGAUUAGAUACCCCGGUAGUCCUAGCUGUAAACGGUGCACGCUUGGUGUGGGAGGCAACCCCUU
RNAcentral lists this ribosomal RNA (478 nucleotides) under uncultured Verrucomicrobiota bacterium. RNAcentral's name for it is "bacterial SSU rRNA". It matches the Rfam family "Bacterial small subunit ribosomal RNA", at positions 355 to 840 of the family's 1533-position model. The record is from RNAcentral. Lineage: Bacteria; Pseudomonadati; Verrucomicrobiota.